AUCACAGUAUGGCUCUUGCAGGUUGGUUUACUCCAUCUGUUCAAUUCUCAACCUUUGAUUUUCCCUUCGUUUGUUUGUGUUAGAAGCAUAAUCGAAAACGUGGAUGAUAUGGUUAAAUUUUGGCAAAUAGGAGUAAGCUUUGUAUGGUAGGAAUUUUACUACUUCAUCAGUUUAUUGAUGAGAAUGAAAUGCGCUAUGGACGGCCCCUUCUGGACUCUCUACCAUUUUAUUGGUUCUUAUAGCUUUCUUAGUCUUGAUAUUUACUUCAUCAAAACUGAUAGAUUUUCAUGAGACAAAGACAAGGGUUUGUCUGACAGUAAUAUCUGCUGAUUCUAUGUUUGAAUUUCUCACUUAUUUCUAGACUCCGCAAAUUCAUAUCCAUUUGUUUAUCUCCACAUAAAUGGACUUCUAUUCUUGUUGCUUGUGUGAUUGUAGUGGCCUAUAGGAUAUUAGAAUUACGAAACUGUUGGAUGUUAACAGAUGCAUUUGGGGUUUUCCUUUUUCUUCUUUUGUUUUGGCUACAUCAGAAUAUAACUUGCACAUUGGGGUUAAGUACAGGCUAAGGCUACCUUUUUGACUAUUAAAUGAUUGUAAGAUUAGGAGUUUGAGAUGAGUUCACCCCUCUAAUUUCUAUGUAAUGGCAGAUGACGGAUCAGUUUGGUGCUGGGGUUAUAACCCUUGUAUCCUUCACGCUGGGGUACCUUUCAAGUAUUUCAUGCAUGUCAGAAUUUUGUUAUCUAUGUGCUUGUUAAUGUGUGUAUUCUCUGCAACCUUAACCUUUGUAUGGAUGGCCAACUUGGGGUAAAUGGAGAGAAUGCUGUGGUGCCUCGCAUGAUGGAGCAUUUUCUUGGGUUGACCUCUUUUGAUUCUGUAACGAAUGGGUCAGAAACAAAGAGAGAAGCACCAUUAAAGGCUUGUUCUGUUAAAGCAGGAGGGAUGAUGUCUCUAGCAAUCGACAAUCUUGGGACCCUGUGGAUAUGGGGCAAUUGCCCACAGCAAAGCAGCAGCAGUGGCGAGAGUGGUUUCUCCCUGGUCAGCAGUUUCACUCCGAUUCCUGUCUGGGAUUUCCAUGGCCACACUGUUGUAAAGGUGGCAUGUGGAAAUGAGCAUGUUGUAGCUUUGGUAACUGUUGGAGAAACAUAUGAAGGUGAGGAUCUAGUAUGCUACUCUUGGGGAAACAAUAACCAUGGCCAGUUGGGUUUGGGAGAUAGAGAGAGCAGAAUUCAUCCUGAAAUUGUUGAAACAUUUAACCAGCACUCUCCCUGGGCUAUUUAUGAGGUAGCAUGCGGUGCAUUUCAUACCGCUUUGCUCACUCACAAAAAGAGACCAAAUGAAAAAUUAGAAAGCACAUGCUGGACUUUUGGCCUGGGUGAAAAUGGGCAGCUUGGGCAUGGAACCUCCCAAAGUGCACUGAAACCUGAACCUGUAAAUGAAUUGCCACAAGAUGCGUACCUGGUCUCUGUUGAUUGUGGUUUAUUUCAUACUGGUGUUGUUUCAUCAGCUGGUGAUGUGUGGUCAUGGGGAAUGGAGAAAGGGCUUGGCCUCUGCCCAGAUGCUAGAUUUACUGGAACAGAUGCAGGGGAUGCUUUGUCACCCCUACGAAUAACAGGGCCGCAAGAGCCUAGAUUUCAUGAUCCAGUCCAAGUUGUUUGUGGGGCCGCCCAUACUGUUCUUGUUGCAAAUGAUGGAUAUAAGCUUUGGUCCUGGGGUAGGGGAAGAAGUGGGGUCCUUGGAACUGGGCAGACGAUUGAUUUUUUUGCUCCCACUGCUGUGAUGUGGCCUCCAUUAGCAGAUGAUUUCAAGGACCAAGGAUUGAACAAUGUUACUAAAGACGAUAAUCUAGAAAGCAAGGAAUCAGAAGAAGUUGCAGAAAUAGAAAAAAGAUUGUCUUCGGCAAUGGAGGAGAUGAAGCUCCUUCAAUCAAAGCUUUCUAUAAUGGAAAGAUAUGCUGGCAUACUUCAUGGUUCAAUUUUUGGUAAACCUUUUACAGAGGAAGAUAUUCCAAGCUCGUUGCGAGAUUCAGGUACUUUUGACAUUGCCAAAGAAUGGGAGGAUAUGCUAGAAUCAGCAGAUCGCAGUAAGCUUAUUAGGUUGGAACUUUUCUACAGAAACAUGCUUUCAGGUGUCAAAGACAAGCAUAUGAAAAGAAGGAUCCAAGAGAUCAUAAAGGAGUUUAUCCCUUCUUCAACCACCGAUAAUUAGUGCAAUAAGAAGUGGAAUGGUUUUUUGUAUAAAAUGGAUGAAUCAUCUGCUACACCUUAUCA
RNAcentral lists this unclassified non-coding RNA (2264 nucleotides) under Hevea brasiliensis (rubber tree). The record is from RNAcentral. Lineage: Eukaryota; Viridiplantae; Streptophyta; Magnoliopsida; Malpighiales; Euphorbiaceae.